UUAAAGUAGUAAGGGCGCAGGGUGGAUGCCUUGGCACUAAGAGCCGAUGAAAGACGUGAUAAGCUGCGAAAAGCUUCGGGGAGGAGCACAUAUCCAAUGAUCCGGAGAUAUCUGAAUGGGGAAACCCGGCAGAGGAAACCUCUGUCAGCGUGCAGUGAAUACAUAGCUGUACGUGGGGAACCCGGGGAACUGAAACAUCUAAGUACCCGGAGGAAGAGAAAGAAAAUUUAUCGAUUUCCAAAGUAGCGGCGAGCGAAAUGGAAAGAGCCCAAACCGUGAUGCGUGCAUCGCGGGGUUCGGACUGCGUUGUGGCAGACGUAAGAUAGGAGAACGGACUGGGAAGUCCGGCCGGAGAGAGUGAAAGCCUCGUAUCCGAAAUCCCAAGUCGCCUAGCAGGAUCCAGAGUAGGACGAGACACGAGAAACCUUGUCUGAACGAGCGGGGACCACCCCGUAAGGCUAAAUACUUCUUAGUGACCGAUAGCGCAUAGUACUGUGAAGGAAAGGUGAAAAGUACCCCGGGAGGGGAGUGAAAGAGAACCUGAAACCCUGUGUCUACAAGCUGUGGGACCUCUUUAUAUGAGGGACUGCGUACUUUUUGUAGAACGGUCCGGCGAGUUGUGCGUACUGGCGAGGUUAAGGACUUAAGGUCUGGAGCCGAAGUGAAAGCAAGCGUUAAUAGCGCGUCAAGUCAGUGAGUGCAGACCCGAAACCGGGUGACCUAUCCAUGUCCAGGUUGAAGCUUCCGUAAGAGGAAGUGGAGGACCGAACCCACAUCCGUUGAAAAGGGUGGGGAUGAGGUGUGGAUAGCGGAGAAAUUCCAAUCGAACCCGGAGAUAGCUGGUUCUCCUCGAAAUAGCUUUAGGGCUAGCCUCAUGAGAGUCUUAUGGAGGUAGAGCACUGAAUUGCCUAGGGGGCGUCAAAGCUUACCAAAGCAUAUCAAACUCCGAAUGCCAUCAAGAUGAUUCAUGGGAGUCAGACCAUACGAGAUAAGUUGGAUGGUCAAAAGGGAAAGAGCCCAGACCUACAGCUAAGGUCCCAAAGUACGUGUUAAGUGGAAAAGGAUGUGGGGAUUCUAAGACAACUAGGACGUUGGCUUAGAAGCAGCCAUUCAUUGAAAGAGUGCGUAAUAGCUCACUAGUCGAGAGUCCCUGCGCCGAAAAUGUCCGGGGCUGAAACACGACACCGAAGCUUAGGAAUGUGUAAACAUUGGUAGAGGAGCAUUGCUGGCGGGAUGAAGCCAUACCGUAAGGAGUGGUGGACUGCCAGGAAGAGAGAAUGCCGGAAUGAGUAGCGAGAUGAAGGUGAGAAUCCUUCAGGCCGAAUAUCUAAGGUUUCCAGAGUAAAGCUGAUCUGCUCUGGGUAAGUCGGGACCUAAGGCGAGGUCGAAAGACGUAGUCGAUGGAUAACAGGUUGAAAUUCCUGUACCGCAUAUAAACAGAACUGUGGGGACACAGACAGGGAAUGGAAUCCGGGAAUGGAUAUCCCGGUGCAAGCGAGGUAGGAGUGCUGUUGGCAAAUCCGCAGCACGAUCUGAAGACGUGACGCGUACCGAACAUAAGUAGGGAAGUCCAGGCCCCUGGCUGUCAAGAAAAGCCGCUAUUGUUUUAUAUGUGCCCGUACCGCAAACCGACACAGGUGGAUGAGGAGAGAAUCCUAAGGCCGACGGGAGAAGUAUUGUUAAGGAACUCGGCAAAAUGACUCCGUAACUUCGGGAGAAGGAGUGCCAUGUAAAAGUGGCCGCAGAGAAUUGGCCCAAGCAACUGUUUAGCAAAAACACAGGUCUAUGCAAAACCGAAAGGUGAGGUAUAUGGGCUGACGCCUGCCCGGUGCUGGAAGGUUAAGGGGAGAGGUUAGCGCAAGCGAAGCUUUGAACUUAAGCCCCAGUAAACGGCGGCCGUAACUAUAACGGUCCUAAGGUAGCGAAAUUCCUUGUCGGGUAAGUUCCGACCCGCACGAAAGGCGUAAUGAUUUGAGCACUGUCUCGACAAUGCAUCCGGUGAAAUUG
RNAcentral lists this ribosomal RNA (2007 nucleotides) under human gut metagenome. Its description in RNAcentral is "bacterial LSU rRNA". It matches the Rfam family "Bacterial large subunit ribosomal RNA", at positions 1 to 2044 of the family's 2925-position model. The record is from RNAcentral.